UGAGCAAUCUGCCCUUCACAUCGGAAUAACCAUUGGAAACGAUGGCUAAUACCGAAUAUGACUUCGGAUCGCAUGAUCUGAAGUGGAAAGCUCCGGCGGUGAAGGAUGAGCUCGCGGCCUAUCAGCUCGUUGGUGAGGUAAUAGCUCACCAAGGCGAUGACGGGUAGCCGGCCUGAGAGGGUGACCGGCCACACUGGGACUGAGACACGGCACGA
Molecule: ribosomal RNA, 215 nt
Filed under: uncultured bacterium
Lineage: Bacteria
Description: partial 16S ribosomal RNA
Rfam family: Bacterial small subunit ribosomal RNA
Source: RNAcentral